GACGAACGCUGGCGGCGUGCUUAACACAUGCAAGUCGAACGGAAAGGCCCUGCUUGCAGGGUACUCGAGUGGCGAACGGGUGAGUAACACGUGGGUGAUCUGCCCUGCACUCCGGGAUAAGCCUGGGAAACUGGGUCUAAUACCGGAUAGGAGCCAUUUUUAGUGUGAUGGUUGGAAAGUUUUUUCGGUGUAGGAUGAGCUCGCGGCCUAUCAGCUUGUUGGUGGGGUAGUGGCCUACCAAGGCGGCGACGGGUAGCCGGCCUGAGAGGGUGGACGGCCACAUUGGGACUGAGAUACGGCCCAGACUCCGACGGGAGGCAGAAGUGGGGAAGAUUGCACAAUGGGCGCAAGCCUGAUGCAGCGACGCCGCGGGGGGGAUGACGGCCUUCGGGUUGUAAACUCCUUUCGCUAGGGACGAAGCUUUUUGUGACGGUACCUAGAGAAGAAGCACCGGCUAACUACGUG
This 465-nucleotide ribosomal RNA is filed under the name uncultured bacterium. RNAcentral describes it as "partial 16S ribosomal RNA". It matches the Rfam family "Bacterial small subunit ribosomal RNA", at positions 28 to 507 of the family's 1533-position model. The record is from RNAcentral.